ACGGCUGGGGGCGGGACAUGGGACGAUUUUUGGGCGGAAGAAGGAAGUAGAGCGCCUUUUCCCAUUAUUCUCAAUGGUGGGCUUGAAGCCAUAUACCUCCUUGCCAAUUCUUGCCAAGUCGGCUCUGUUUCGUUCCUACGAUAGUUUCCCCUCCCUUCCAAACAGCCCAGAUAUUUUUUUCAGGCUGACCCUGUAUUUAAGAGAGCUAUUAAAAUAGUUUAAAUGACCAAUGAGCAUGGCUAUUUGGGUUGAUUGGCAGUUGACAUUCUUUAGAAUUAUUGUUUUGAUUGACAGGCAGGCCGUCGUCAAGGCGAAGGACGACUCUCGCGCCGUCUCCAGGGGAAGCUCCCUCCCUGCUGCAUUACUUUCAACAGCUUCAUCACUGCCAUGGGUUAUUUAAUUUUGGUACACUUUCCCCACAAAUAUGCGUUGUUGUACUUUUGGAUGUACUUCUCCGUAUUCUGUAAGGACCUCUGCAGUUUUGGUGUUUUGCCCCUGCGGUUGUGAGGAGGAUGCUGUGUAGGUGGCAGCGUGAACGUGUCACACAGACAUUGGCUAAACUACUCGAUGUCUGCAAAUGUACAGUAGGCUACACGCCAGCAGGUCUCACCAUAGUCAGCAUCAUCAAGGAUUGUCACUCCGACCUGAGAAGAGGCCCCAUAGAGACACGGACAAGGACCAGCCACUGUUGCCAGUGCACAACUGAGGACCCGACCAGCCUGCUGCCAUCUAUGAUACUAUAUAGUACCCGCGGAGCGGUCUGAAGACGUGGAGUACACUGCAGCAGGUAUCACAUGACCAAGGACUUGGACAACGUCUCUGCUUACAUCUAUAGUGUAUUACACAACUGAAGAUGUACAGUACGCUGCUGCCUGCAUCCUGCCACCACAGAGGAUCCGAUAUGCAGAACCAGCUUCAAAAACCAUUGCAAUUAUGAAACACAGUUAAUAAAUGCUUAUAUACAGCAGCCCACACAUUUUGUUUAAUUUGUAAUAUUGGUUAACACACUAUUGUUACAACUGUUUAGAUCGGUGUUUCCCAACCAGGGGUACAUGUACCACUAGGGGUACGUGAACACAAUGCAGGUGGUACAUGCAUUGGCAGGUAUCAAUAAAAAGAAAUGUAUGGAGCAUAAUCAUAUUGGGAUAGAGGAAGAUAUACAGUAGACUAGAGCAUGAGGGAGGGGGUACUCAUGGUAUGACAAAAAUGCUUAGGGGGUACUUGAGACAAAAAAAAGUUGGGAGACACUGUGUGAUUGAAGUAAUGCAUUUCUUACAAGCUUGGGGAAGAAUGUCCACUCCAUGAUUUGCAAGUUUAAAAAGCAGAACAUAAGGGUGAAUAUUUCAUUUUAAUCUUGA
Engraulis encrasicolus (European anchovy) is the source of this 1358-nucleotide long non-coding RNA. RefSeq lists it as uncharacterized. Lineage: Eukaryota; Metazoa; Chordata; Actinopteri; Clupeiformes; Engraulidae. The transcript has 5 exons. The record is from RefSeq and is a predicted model, not a curated record.